CCUAAACGGCCGACCGCGCGGGUCGCGCCCGGGAGCGUCUCCUGGAGGCCCGGCGGAGGGGGCGGGGCCGCGAGGCCCGGGCGGCGUCCGGAUUGGCUGAGCUUUGCACUCCGGCCAAUGUCUGGGGCCAGCACAGCAUCUUCCUGUCUGCUCUAUACAAUGAAAAUACAAACUAAAUGAAGAUAGAAAAAAAUAAUUAAAGCAUUAAAUUGUACAAAUUACAAAUCUGUUCCAAAAUAUACUUACAUUAAAUAAAAUACGCAUUUCAGUAAGA
Molecule: long non-coding RNA, 274 nt
Organism: Felis catus (domestic cat)
Lineage: Eukaryota; Metazoa; Chordata; Mammalia; Carnivora; Felidae
Exons: 2
Source: RefSeq, a predicted model, not a curated record